CUUCACCGAUCCGAGCAGCAGGGGCAGUUCCUCGGGCCGCUCCUGGCCGUAGGUGGCCAGCAGCGCCUGCGCCUC
Non-coding RNA from Streptomyces violaceusniger Tu 4113, 75 nucleotides. NCBI's taxonomy places the organism in Bacteria, Bacillati, Actinomycetota, Actinomycetes, Kitasatosporales, Streptomycetaceae. The record is from Rfam.